CCUACGGGGUGCAGCAGUGGGGAAUAUUGGACAAUGGGCGAAAGCCUGAUCCAGCCAUGCCGCGUGUGUGAAGAAGGCCUUCGGGUUGUAAAGCACUUUCAGUGGGGAAGAAAGCCUUGGGGCUAAUACCCUCGAGGAAGGACAUCACCCACAGAAGAAGCACCGGCUAACUCCGUGCCAGCAGCCGCGGUAAUACGGAGGGUGCGAGCGUUAAUCGGAAUUACUGGGCGUAAAGCGCGCGUAGGCGGUCUGAUAAGCCGGUUGUGAAAGCCCGGGCUCAACCUGGGAACGGCAUCCGGAACUGUCAGGCUAGAGUGCAGGAGAGGAAGGUAGAAUUCCCGGUGUAGCGGUGAAAUGCGUAGAGAUCGGGAGGAAUACCAGUGGCGAAGGUGGCCUUCUGGACUGACACUGACGCUGAGGUGCGAAAGCGUGGGUAGCAAACAGGAUUAGAUACCCUGGUAGUC
Molecule: ribosomal RNA, 464 nt
Filed under: Vreelandella stevensii
Lineage: Bacteria; Pseudomonadati; Pseudomonadota; Gammaproteobacteria; Oceanospirillales; Halomonadaceae
Description: partial 16S ribosomal RNA
Rfam family: Bacterial small subunit ribosomal RNA
Source: RNAcentral